RNAcentral lists this long non-coding RNA (1991 nucleotides) under Nicotiana benthamiana. RNAcentral's name for it is "long non-coding RNA (NBEN_LNC023201)". The record is from RNAcentral. Lineage: Eukaryota; Viridiplantae; Streptophyta; Magnoliopsida; Solanales; Solanaceae.
UCCGUUCACUAAAUUUUUAGUUCUUCUUUCACUCUAUUCAAAGAACCCUAAGCCCCAAAUUGCAGAAUAAGGAAGGCACAUACUCUGCUAUGACUGCCUUGCAGUCCUCCCUCUCCAAUUGGUGCGCUCUCUCUCUCUCUCUCUGAGUGUGUAAUGUGCUUAAUUGAAUUUCAAUUUUACUUUGAUUUCAACUCAGUUGAUUUCUAAGGUUUGCUCUAUUAUAAAUUGGUAUUUUCUUCAUUUUAGAAUUCAUAAUAGAAGAAAAGACGCCAGAUGUGUAUGCUUUAUUGCAUUGCUUGGUAACUUUUGGGAUAGUGAAGGAUGGGGAUUUUGAUUUGUACAGGAAAUUUAUUUGCAUUUGCUUGGAGAAAACAGAUGCCUAAAUGGGAUGUCUCUGUUGGACAUGGUGAUAAAAUGCCUAGUAAUUUUUUUUGUUAUGUUAUAUUAUUUUGUUCAUAUUGUGGAUGUCUCUCUUGGACACGGUGAUAAAAUGCCUAGUAAUUUUUUUUUUGUUAUGUUAUAUUAUUUUGUUCAUAUUAUUUCUUUGGCUUGAGAAAUUGGAGUCCUUUGCACGCAAAAUGGCCCGGCACCACUGACAUAAAUGAAGAGAGUACUUUGGCUUUCAUAGUCUUAUAAUUUGAUGACAUAUUAAGAGAAAUGCAUAAUGAGGAACUAGUUUUUUGUGGUGUGGUUGGUCUUCUAUUCAGGUGGAAAAGGUUAACAUGUCAUAAGUAAUUUUUUGUGGAAUUUUUACCUCUGCUUGUGACUUUAGAGUAGGCCUGCAGUUGAAAUGUCUAGUUAAUUUGGAAGUUUAGGUGUUUAGUGGCAUUGACUUGAGAGAUCAUUUUACUCUUUACCCUUUUUAUUCAUAUAUGGGAUUGAGAUCGUUAUUUUUUUUUUUGGCAAUCCACUAGGCAAGUGCCUAGGCCUAGUUUUUUAAUCAUAACACAAAAGGAAAAAAUACAAUAAUUAAGGGGGACAAUAGCACCGGUAUUGUUACCCAUAUAACACAAACGGGGUUAACCUUACCGUACUAAUCCUAUUGAGGCUUGCCAACCUCGCCUACUAACAAGCAUGUAAAAAAUAUGAACUUGAAAGGACCAAAUAUUCUAUGAUCAACACAGAGUUUAUAACAUACUCUGUGAUGAGAUUACAUAUGAGAAUACUAAUAAAGUGGUAUAAUAAAAUGUAGUACCAAUUUGAUUGUUGUCCCUUUUUUUCCAACCUUGUAAAGUCUUCAAUUUGUAGUUCUUUGUCGUUUUCAUCCACAAAGUGCUAAAAGUAUUAAAAAAUCAUCGAUUCUUUUUUGAACGGUUGGACUUCGUUGAUGAAGCUGGUGUAGCCUGCUUUUGUUUGGCAGCUCACAUUGGAAGUCGCCUAAUAAUUGCUUCCUUGUCGGACCUUGUUGUAAUUUUCAUCAAGAUAGCACCUUCUUUGCUUGUUCCCAUAUGUUCCUCCACAGAAUUUGGUGGUGUAUCUAGGUAGUGAAUGCAUGUGCGACAAGUAGGCUUACUUGGAAUGAAAUCUGGAGCCUCCAACUUGUUCUUUAAUUUUCCAGUCAAAGUAUUUUUAAAAAAUGGAAUUUGAAGUUCAUCCCUGAUAACUCUUUCCACACGAUGGCUGGCAAAUUGAACCUUUAGUUUAAGACCAUUUUCCUGCUCCCUUUUCAUAUUUGAGCUGUUGAAUUUAUUUGACAAAUUGACCAACGGUUUCAUGGGAUCCUCGAUGAGAUGCAUUUCAACCGCUUCAAUCUGCUUCUGUUGCACCUUCUUCUUCUUCUUCCUCUUUGAAGUCGAUGAAAAUUCAAACUUCUGAUGUUCCUGUUUUGACGCUGUUACUGCAUAUUGAUCAGUCACACAAAUAGCAUUUAAUUUGGACGCAAAAUAUUGCUCAUGUGCAGGCGACUUUGUUCCUGAAGGAGCUGCUUCAUGUCGAUCAGAACUGGCAUUAGGAGUGUUCAUAAUUUGUUGCUUCACUGCAUCCAAAAUUGG